Long non-coding RNA from Ochotona princeps (American pika), 429 nucleotides. RefSeq lists it as uncharacterized. Lineage: Eukaryota; Metazoa; Chordata; Mammalia; Lagomorpha; Ochotonidae. The record is from RefSeq and is a predicted model, not a curated record. The transcript has 3 exons.
UGUUAACUCUGAUGCUCAACCAGAAGAAAAAUUGGAAUGGUGUCUGUCUUCAUCAAAAACGAAUCGCGUGGUAAACACAACUUCAGCUUUGGCAAAGGAAAGCUUGUGAGAGAUCUAGGCGUCUGGGAGCCCUCCUAGGGUUCUUAGCCCGAGUGUUGGCACUGAUAAUGUGUGCCUACAAGACCUCAGACGAGGACCUGAAACCCACAGCAAAACGAUUGAGGCCGUUGAAGAGACCAAAGACUGAUAAGAGGGGUCUCUGAAAACUGGGUGCCAUGACUCUCUUAACAAGAAUUAAAGUUACCAAAACCAGCAAUGACAUACCACUCAAAAAUUCAUUUUUCUUAAAAAAAAAAAAGCCAAGCAGGUGAUGACAGCCACACACACUGCCACGCUCCCAGAGGGAGCACCUGUGCAGCGGUGCCCACA